GGGGGACAACGGGCAGCCGCGUGGCGCAACACGCCAUGAGGAAAGUCCGAACUCCGUUGGACAGCACGCUUCCUAACAGAAAGGCGGUAAUGCUGGUAACAGCAAAGCCGACGGAAAGUGCAACAGAAAGAUACCGCCCGCCCCGGCGGGUAAGGGUGAAAUGGUGGGGUAAGAGCCCACCAGCGGAUGGGCGACCAUCCGGCUCGGCAAACCCCGUGCGGAGCAAGAUCAAGCAGGCAUGUGUGUGCUUCGGCACAGGUGACGUCCAACACCGCCUCACGGCAACAUUCCGGGUAGAUCGCUCGAGGCUGCCGGCAACGGCAGUCCCAGAUAAAUGGCUGCCUCCUUCACUACGGUGAAGCAGACAGAAUUCGGCUUACAGGAGUCUUCCCAUG
Chlorobi bacterium OLB6 is the source of this 395-nucleotide non-coding RNA. Lineage: Bacteria; Pseudomonadati; Chlorobiota. The record is from Rfam.